GACGAACGCUGGCGGCGUGCUUAACACAUGCAAGUCGAACGAAGAGCGAUGGAAGCUUGCUUCUCUCAAUCUUAGUGGCGAACGGGUGAGUAACGCGUAAUCAACCUGCCCUUCAGAGGGGGACAACAGUUGGAAACGACUGCUAAUACCGCAUACGAUCUAAUCUCGGCAUCGAGGAUAGAUGAAAGGUGGCCUCUACAUGUAAGCUCUCACUGAAGGAGGGGAUUGCGUCUGAUUAGCUAGUUGGAGGGGUAACGGCCCACCAAGGCGAUGAUCAGUAGCCGGUCUGAGAGGAUGAACGGCCACAUUGGGACUGAGACACGGCCCAGACUCCUACGGGAGGCAGCAGUGGGGAAUCUUCCGCAAUGGACGAAAGUCUGACGGAGCAACGCCGCGUGAGUGAUGACGGCCUUCGGGUUGUAAAGCUCUGUUAAUCGGGACGAAAGGCCUUCUUGCGAAUAGGGAGAAGGAUUGACGGUACCGGAAUAGAAAGCCACGGCUAACUACGUG
This 510-nucleotide ribosomal RNA is filed under the name uncultured bacterium. Its description in RNAcentral is "partial 16S ribosomal RNA". It matches the Rfam family "Bacterial small subunit ribosomal RNA", at positions 28 to 507 of the family's 1533-position model. The record is from RNAcentral.